ACCAAUUCUCUUCCUGACGUCACGGCGUAGGACGAAAACUUAUAAACGCUAAACGCGCCUGCUGGCAGCAUUCAUUGGUGCACUGCAUCGCUGCUCGGUUCUAGUUGCGGUGUCGCGAGGUAUUCCACAUUCUUCCUCCGUAAUCUUCGUAACCUCUGUAACCUCUGUUUGAGUACACAUGUAUCAAGAUUCUUCAAUGAAAUUAAUCAUCAAGUGUCUCAGACCCGAUAUUAUAUCGGGGUAUGUGAGUUCCAUCUCCGUGCGCAGCAACAAUUCCCUUCGAAACUCCCUUCAUAAUUUUUUUAAUUAUUCGCAUAAUUAUUCAUUGUUAGGCUCUGUGCCGUCUUCCACCCUUGUUUUCCAUCAUUUUAGAUUUAAUUCUAAUUAUAAAAUCUCUUUUUCAAAAUCCGAAUCCAGUCGAAUCUAUUAUAUGACGAUUCAAUGAAUCUGAUCGUCAUAUCGGACGGGGUGAAAAUGUUGUCUCAAGAUCAACGAUUAGUAUCACUAAAACAUCCCGCUACGACGGAAUUGAUUUAUUUGACUGUCACAUGUGCGCAAGUCGACAUAAAGUAACCGACACUUAAAAGAGAAACAUUCAUUUCAGGCUGGAUAG
Molecule: long non-coding RNA, 613 nt
Organism: Athalia rosae (coleseed sawfly)
Lineage: Eukaryota; Metazoa; Arthropoda; Insecta; Hymenoptera; Athaliidae
Exons: 2
Source: RefSeq, a predicted model, not a curated record